This 1755-nucleotide long non-coding RNA is filed under the name Homo sapiens (human). RNAcentral describes it as "HSALNT0274317". Lineage: Eukaryota; Metazoa; Chordata; Mammalia; Primates; Hominidae. The record is from RNAcentral.
AGAAGGGCUGGGUCCACACUCAGGCAGCUGGGCUCCAGCACCUGCCCUCCAAGAUGGUUUGAAAACAUCUGCUUGCACCCACACCUGCAGCACGAAGGCAGCUUUGACAUUGCGAGACAAUGAACACACAAACAGAAAACAGCCAGACCAAAUAUGGGAAGAGAACUCUGAGCCACAGCGACUGUCCAGAGGCCAAACCUCAACUUUCACGGCUAGCCAGAAGCUUUCUGCCCAGGACGGAAUCUCUGACUUCAGAAUCAUGAGGCUUUUGUUUAAGAAUUCCUUAAGACGUUUCAGAUCCUUAAUUCCAGGCCAACCAGUUUGAAGAGCCCCACAGAGGAAGUGAACCAGCAUGAGAAUACAGCAUCUUCAACCCCACCCCAUGACUCCACCCUGCUUCACCCUGCACUUCUCCACCGGUCAGCAGCCCCCGCCCUCAGCCCACUCCAAACCCCUGAAAGUUCCCAGCCCCAAACUCCUCAGGGAGAUGGAUUUGAGGUCUCCUCCCAGUUACAACCUUGCGGUUCAAACUGUCUGCUGCAAACCCUGGGUGGCAGUGUGCUGACUUCCUGCACCCUAGGCAACGGACCUGUCACGGUCACACUCCUAGUGAGCCCCUCUUCCGUCUCCCCAGGCCACAGCCUCCCUCAGCUGUUAUCCUCCUAUUUGUAAAACGGAGGCACCUGGGACCAGCUCCAGCAAGGAGAGUGAGGAUCCGACUCCAGGAAGCACCUCAGGAACAAAGGCCUCAAGGCCAACACCUUCCACGGCACAAGCCCAACAGAGCUGCAGGAACCGUACAAGCAGCGGGAACAUCCCUUUCUCUUCUUGACUAUGUUUUCCCCUGAUGCUUUGCUUUCCACAUAGAAGAGUUUUCCAUUUUCGUGGGGUCAACUCUGCCUUCACUCAUUCAACAAUGAUGGGGGGCUCUGCCCCGCUCCCCCCAGGCUUCAACCACACCUGACUGCCCACCCCUUUGGGCCCUUCCCUGAAGUGACAGACCAGGCUGUGCCCUGGCAGGUGGUCCAGUCUAACAGAAACCCUAAACCAAAGGGACUGUGUGGUGGCUCAAGCCUGUCAUCCCAGCACUUUGGGGGAUGGAUCGAUUUUAGCCUAGGAGUUCAAGACCAGCCUGGGCAAUAUAGUGAGACUCCAUCUCUACAAAAACACUUUUUAAAAAAAUUAGGGGUGCAGUGGUUUAUGCCAAUAAUCCCAGCACUUUGGGAGGCCGAGGUGGACAGAUCGCUCAGAAGUUCCAGACCAGCCUGGGUAACAUGGUGAAACUCUCUGUCUCUAUAUAUGUGUGUGGUAGGGUGGGCCUGUGGUCCCAGCUACUAUAGCAGCUGAGGUGGGAAGAUCGCUUGAGCCCAGGAGGUCCAGGCUGCAAUGAGUUGUGAUCAGGCCACUGCACCCCAGCCUGGCCAACAGAGCAAGACUCUGUCAAAAAAAAAAAAAAGAAAGAAAGAAAAGAGGUCAGGUACGGUGGCUCACGCCUGUAAUUCCAGCACUUUGGGAGCCCGAGGCAGGUGGAUCACGAGGUCAGGAGUUCGAGACCAGCCUGGCCAAUAUGGUGAAACCCCGUCUCUACUAAAAACACAAAAAUUAGCUGCGCAUGAAGGCGCGCGCCUGUAGUCCCAGCUACUCGGGAGGCCGAGGCAGGAGAAUGGUGUGAACCCCGGAGGCGGAGCUUGCAGUGAGCCGAGAUUGCGCCACUGCACUCCAGCCUAGGCGACAGAUCCAGACUCCGUCUCAAAA